This 530-nucleotide ribosomal RNA is filed under the name uncultured bacterium. RNAcentral's name for it is "partial 16S ribosomal RNA". It matches the Rfam family "Bacterial small subunit ribosomal RNA", at positions 355 to 900 of the family's 1533-position model. The record is from RNAcentral.
UGGGGAAUAUUGCACAAUGGGCGAAAGCCUGAUGCAGCAACGCCGCGUGAGUGAUGAAGGCCUUCGGGUUGUAAAGCUCUGUCUUUUGGGACGAUAAUGACGGUACCAAAGGAGGAAGCCACGGCUAACUACGUGCCAGCAGCCGCGGUAAUACGUAGGUGGCAAGCGUUGUCCGGAUUUACUGGGCGUAAAGGAUGCGUAGGCGGAUUUUUAAGUGAGAUGUGAAAUACCCGGGCUUAACUUGGGUGCUGCAUUUCAAACUGGGAAUCUAGAGUGCGGGAGAGGAGAAUGGAAUUCCUAGUGUAGCGGUGAAAUGCGUAGAGAUUAGGAAGAACACCAGUGGCGAAGGCGAUUCUCUGGACCGUAACUGACGCUGAGGCAUGAAAGCGUGGGUAGCAAACAGGAUUAGAUACCCUGGUAGUCCACGCCGUAAACGAUGAGUACUAGGUGUAGGAGGUAUCGACCCCUUCUGUGCCGCAGUUAACACAAUCAAGUACUCCGCCUGGGAAGUACGAUCGCAAGAUUAAAAA